This 18-nucleotide small nuclear RNA is filed under the name Arabidopsis thaliana (thale cress). Its description in RNAcentral is "snRNA_17081". Lineage: Eukaryota; Viridiplantae; Streptophyta; Magnoliopsida; Brassicales; Brassicaceae. The record is from RNAcentral.
GAAGCUAGAGGUGUCAGA